Molecule: Y RNA, 88 nt
Organism: Callithrix jacchus (white-tufted-ear marmoset)
Lineage: Eukaryota; Metazoa; Chordata; Mammalia; Primates; Cebidae
Rfam family: Y RNA
About the family: Y RNAs are components of the Ro ribonucleoprotein particle (Ro RNP), in association with Ro60 and La proteins.
Source: Ensembl
GGCUGAGCCCAGUGCAGUAGUGUUUAUAACCAGUUUCAGAUUUCUUUGUUUCUUCUCUUCUCUCACUGUUUCACUUGACUAGCCUUUA